GUACGGGAGGCAGCAGUCGAGAAUUUUUCACACUGGGGGAAACCCUGAUGGAGCGACGCCGCGUGGGGGAUGAAUGGCUUCGGCCCGUAAACCCCUGUCAUUCGCGAACAAACCUUAUCCGUGAACAACGGAUGAGUUGAUAGUAGCGGAAGAGGAAGGGACGGCUAACUCUGUGCCAGCAGCCGCGGUAAUACAGAGGUCCCAAGCGUUGUUCGGAUUCACUGGGCGUAAAGGGUGCGCAGGUGGUCGGGUAAGUCUGAUGUGAAAGCUCGGAGCUCAACUCCGAAAUGGCAUUGGAUACUAUCCGGCUAGAGGAUCGGAGGGGGGACUGGAAUUCUCGGUGUAGCAGUGAAAUGCGUAGAUAUCGAGAGGAACACCAGUGGCGAAGGCGAGUCCCUGGACGACUCCUGACACUGAGGCACGAAAGCUAGGGGAGCAAACAGGAUUAGAUACCCUGGUAGC
This 462-nucleotide ribosomal RNA is filed under the name uncultured bacterium. RNAcentral's name for it is "bacterial SSU rRNA". It matches the Rfam family "Bacterial small subunit ribosomal RNA", at positions 339 to 794 of the family's 1533-position model. The record is from RNAcentral.